Nomascus leucogenys (northern white-cheeked gibbon) is the source of this 517-nucleotide RNA transcript. It is a transcript of the gene named cytochrome c oxidase subunit 6C-like, with no coding region annotated. The transcript has a single exon. Lineage: Eukaryota; Metazoa; Chordata; Mammalia; Primates; Hylobatidae. The record is from RefSeq and is a predicted model, not a curated record.
UAAAAGUCAGGAAGGAUGUUGGCGUUGAGGUUGGCAUACGUAUCAAGGACAGUAACUACCAUGGCUCCCGAAGUGUUGCCAAAACCUCAGAUGCAUGGCCUUCUGGCCAAGCGUCUGCGAUUUCAUAUGUUUGGAGCAUUCAUGGUAUACCUGGGGGUUGCAGCUUUGUAUAAGUUUGGUGUGGGUGAACCAAGAAAGAAGGCAUAUGCAGAUUUCUACAGAAAUUAUGAGAUUUUGAGCAGAUGAAGAAGGCUGGUAUCUUUCAGAGUUUAAAGUAAUCUUGGAAUAUAAAGAAUUUCUUGAGGUUGAAUUACCUAGAAGUUUGUCACUGACUCGUGUUCCUGAACUAUGACACAUGAAUAUGUGGGCUAAUAGUUCCUCUUGAUAAACAAUUGACAAAUAAAUAAAUAAAACCAUUUUAAAGUGAACAAUUCAGUGGCAUUUAGUACGCUCACACUGUGUUGUACAACCAGCAAUUCUAUGUAGUUUUAAAACAUUUAAGUUUUUUUUUUUUUGG